This is an RNA transcript of Stegostoma tigrinum, 4084 nucleotides long. It is a transcript of the gene named STARD3 N-terminal like, with no coding region annotated. Lineage: Eukaryota; Metazoa; Chordata; Chondrichthyes; Orectolobiformes; Stegostomatidae. The transcript is spliced from 10 exons. The record is from RefSeq and is a predicted model, not a curated record.
CCGAUCAAGUCACGUGUGUGUUCCCCGCUAACCUGCCCCCGGAGCUGUGUGUCCCCGGCAGUGGUUCCGGUUCCGAGCGGCGGACUGAGCUGCUUCUGGUGAUGCUGAAGCUACGGUAGAGCCGUGCAGGAUGAGCAGAUUGCCGAAUGACCAGGAGGAAGCUCGAGCUGAUCGUUUCAAUUCCAAUACUUCCCUUAGUACCGCACAUUCCAUUCACACAUCCCAACUUGCAGCUAAAUUAGAGCCAUACAGUGACAGGAAACCUAUUUCUGAUGUUAGGAGGACUUUCUGCUUAUUUGUUACUUUUGACCUUUUAUUUGUUGGUUUGCUGUGGAUAAUAGAAUUAAAUGUAGAUGGUGGCAUAAUUCAUAGUUUAGAACGUGAGGUCAUUCACUAUGACUUCCAUAAAUCUUACUUUGAUAUCUUCUUACUGGCAGUAUUCCGAUUCGUUAUGCUGGUUAUUGCGUACGCUCUGUUUAGGUUAAACCACUGGUGGAUGAUUGCGAUUACAACAGCUGUCACCAGUGCUUUUCUAAUUGUAAAAGUAGUUGUUUCCAAGCUCCUGGUCCAAGGUACUGCCUUUGCUUACUUACUGCCAAUCAUCUCAUUCAUACUAGCCUGGAUUGAGACUUGGUUCCUGGAUUUCAAGGUGUUGCCACAAGAGUCUCAGGAUGAAAACAGAUUCUUUGUAGUGUCUGAUGUAUCAGAGCAUGCACCUCUUAUUCUUCCUGGCCCCCUGUCUGAUGGACAGUUUUAUUCACCUCCCGAAUCUGUUGCUGAUUCUGACGAGGAACAUGAUGCUGAGAAUCCAAAACGUUAACAGAUGGAUUUCCGAGACCCAGCCUGUACCAUUGGGAUGGACUCCACCCAAGGCUGGAACCCAGCAGACAAUGAGUUUAAACUAGUAAAUGAAAGGAAGGGGCUGAAUGGAAACACAAGUAGAGCAUUCAAUAAGUGGACGCAGCUCAGAUUGAAAGGGAUAAUGGAAAGAUUUCUGAGUGUCUGACCUGCAGAAUUUUCCCAGUACUUGGAUUCCUUUUGGGGAAGAACAUGAUGUAACUGGCAGAGGGAAAUCUGUGAUUCACUUUAUGCCCCAGAGCCCUCAGCUGUUGGAAGUUUAUUACUUUACUGCCUUAUGCCAGCUCUGAAAUGGCUUCAGGAUCCUGCCAUCGCUGAACUAAUUUCAAUUCCAGAAUCAGCUGCUGCACAUUUUUCAAAAUAGCUCGUUUUAGGCUUCAACCUAAUCAUUUUCAGCAAUUAAUAAUUCUACUGAAAUAAUAUUCAAGGAUCACCAAUAUGUGUGAUCAGGUUACCUGACUGAUGUGAUCAGUACUAUUCACUGUAAGCAUUAUGUUGCACUAAAAUUCUAUAUUAUUUUGGUUUGGUCUUUCAUUAUUUUGAAUGAAAUAGGCCAAAUGCAACAAACCAUCAUAAAUUAUGAAGUGCUCCUGAACAUUCAAUUUUUAUAGAUUUAUGCCUGUUUGUACAGCUAUGUAUUUGAGAUGCAUAGAGGGAGAAUUACACAGUUGUGCAGAUGACUGACAGUGUUGUGUUUAUGUUCCUGAAUACUGAUGCACAUCUCAGCUUGCAGUUGUUACUUUCUGUGAUGCAAGUUUAUUGAAGGAAAUUUUUAAAAAUCAUUUUUAUUUAGCAGAAACUAGAAACCGAUUAGGCAAAAUUGUUUUUUCCAUUCUUGACAAUAAAACCAAACAGAAUGUUUUGAAAGGAGUUAAGGGGUGGUUUUCUUCUGCCAUUAACUACUUUGAGAAUGCAGAAAGUCCCAAAGUUCAGUGCACGUAACAGGAUGCAAUUUCCACUGCCAGUGACAAUUGGAAUAUAUUAAACAACACCCUUAACACUGCAAGCUCUUAUGAUCUGGCACAUGCUAUUAGAUGAGAAGGAUUAAUGCAGGUAUUCCAAUCUUUUGAUAUGUGCAACCCUUAAGUUUUAAAUAUGUUUAUUUCCAAUAAUGACAAUAGAUUUAUAUGUUAAUGCAAUGAGUCAUUAUAAUCAAUUUUAAUUACCUGAAGAGCUGUGUAAAUAUUUACUAUGUACAAUAAGGUAUUAAUCCAUUUGCUUAAAAAAUCUCCUGGCAUGCUGCAGCUGUGAAUGACCCUUUCGCCAGCUCAUGCAGAAAUGACAUUGUUGUAUUUUCAGAAUUUUACGCAACGAAGUGGCAUAUUUGAAUUUGAGCUAAGAUGAAACUGAACUUGAAGGCAGAUUGCUUCUGCCUCGUGAUUCCUAUCCCUUAAGAACAUCCUCUAUUGACAGAUGUCUUCACCUGCUCAUUACCCCUUCCUAAGCGCCUCACCUAUUGAGUGGGCUGCCACAGAACUAAGAACUAAUGAUUAAUGUUUCAUGAGCCACUAUGUGGAUUGUGGGUGAAUCUUUGAUCCAGAAUAAAUUGGACUCACCUCUUCAGCCCAUUGAAGGAAGGUGGAUUUCAGUUAGGACCAGGAUGUUCUAAGGGUCUAUAUCAUUUUCCUUUGGUUAUAAGUGUCAGUUAUAUUUCAUUGAUAACACCCCUAUCAAAUAGACAAUCAUGGCUUCUUCUUUAAGUUACACAUAGUUUAUAGCCAUUUCUUCCCACUUCCCUCACCCUCCAAGACUAAAUAUCUAGGCAUGAGGAUACCCAAAUAUGAAUAUAUAAUGUGCUAUCGAAGAUCAUAGAAUCCCUUCAGUGUGGGAACAAGCCAUUCAGCCAAUCAAGACCACACCGACCCUCCGAAGAGCAUCUCACCCAUCCGAAGACCCAUCCUCCUACCAUUUGAGAAAAUAUUUUAAUAGCUUAAGUAGGCUUGAAAUGGAUAUGUCAAUAAUUUGGUUUAAUCAAUUGCUUUAAUGCGUUUGGUGGAAGAUCUCCAAUUUAAUUAUAUACAAAUAGAUAUAUGAUAUCCCAGAGAGCUAUGAAAAUGACUGAUUUUCAGUUAAAAUGGUUAAUGUGUGAUAAAAAGAGCUAUUGUUACACAUUAUUAUAAUUGCUUCCUGCAUGAUCCACAGACUUGUAACCUGCAUUUUGUUCAGCUCAGAUAACAAAUUGUGGAGCUGGAUGAACACAGCAGGCCAAGCAGCUUUUGUGCUCCUGAGAUGCUGCUUGGCCUGCUGUGUUCAUUCAGCUCCACACUUUGUUACCUCAGAUUCUCCAGCAUCUGCAGUUCCCAUUAUCUCUGAUCACUCUGUUCAGCUCAGUUUCGUCUCAGUCUGGUUGCUUCUGAAUGCAACUCAAAGCAAGUGAUAAACUUCAUCCAAAUCUUGUACAAAUCAAGUCUGCUCUUUAAUUAAAAUUACAAUAACUGUUUUAGUUUUUUUGUUUACACUGCUUACUUCAAAUUAAUGUGAAAAAAUGCUUUAGCAUAUAAAGCACCUCUGAAUUAUUAAGAGCAGACUCUAUGUACAAAUUUAUUAAAUAAUUUGAUGUUCAUUAUAUUAGCUCUAUGUUUCCUUUUUAUGUCUGCAGCUUUGGAUCGUAUUGUAUUCAAUUUUCACCUAAAAGUCAAGUUCCACCUCAGGCCUGAUAUUCAAAAUUUUGCCCUUCAUUCUAUUUCCCUUCUAUCUCUUCCAUCCUUAGUGAUUCUAGUGAAGUUUCCUGUCACUUGGCUUUACAAGGUCCUAAUGCAACUCACUGUGGGAGCAAGACUGCGUGUUGCUGAAAUAGACUGUUGCAACAUUGCAUUCACAUCAACCUCUCUGGCCAAACCUUACACAAGGCAAUUUGGGCUCUAAGUGAUCAAACUACUAAUAUUAAACAUAGGAGUUUAUUAAGAGAUGAAAAGAAUCAACAAAUGAAAAUUGAGGUAGCAGAAUCAGCAGCUACUGACUACUGGUGCAUGUUAUGUAAUGUCUGUAACUUUCAAGUCAUGCCUUGUUUUAGUAGAUUGAAAUAAAUGGAUCAAUUUAUACAUUAAGUCAUUUGCAAUAAAAGUAAAUGGAUCAAAGAAAUAUGAGGAAAGAUGUUUAUUUGAGAGAUUGUAUUUUUGUUGCUUAUGAUUUGUGAUGCUUUCUCUGCCUUUUUGUCACCUUGCGUUUGAUUUUUACUGCCCUGACAAAGUCAGAUGUUUUAAACCCAUCAAAUAAUUUUAUUUCU